GGGGAGCAAAACCCUUUCUACGGAGCGGGGGGGCUGCAGAGCCGGAGCUAAGAGGAGACGCAGCUGCCACCUCCCCCCCCCACUGCACCUGCUGACGUGCAGCUGGUGAUUCAGCUGCUGCUCAGGAGGAGCCCCAGCAAGCGGCCCAGCGCUCGUGUCGCCGCUAACAUGCUUCACCUGAGCCUGUGGGGGGGGCGGGCUCUAUCCGACCUGAGGAAGCUCUCUGAUUGGCUGCUGUGUCAGUCGGCCGUGGUGCUGCUGGGGGGGUGCAGCGGGCCGGGAGGGUGCACGGUGGAGGCGGAGCUUCAGAGGAGCUUCCUGUCCAACCUGGAUCUGGAGGAGCUUCGCACCGCGGGGGGGUUCCUGCUGUACGGCCGGGGGGGGGGGCAGCGGCGUCUGAUUAGACUCACCUUCAGACCAAACAAGAGGAUUCUCCCCUCGCGUUAAGAUAAGAUAAGAUAAGAAGUACUUUAUAGAUCCCAAUUUGGGAAAUGUUUGCGUUGCAGCAGCAUAGAAAGACAAGGUAUUGUACUUAGAAAUUAAAAGUAUAUAUAAAUAAACCAUCAAACUGAGACAAAGACAGGCCACGAGUCCAACUCAAAACACAGACUUUAUUAAUUAGAUCAGCUGCUUACAUUGAAAGUACAUGAGUGUUAAUGAUGAGACAAUCAUCAUGUGAUUGGUCUGUUAAUAAACCCAUCUAACCCAGAUCAGAGGUUUACAUUCACCCCACAAGCAGCCGUGUUCAUUCAAACAUCAUCGUGCUGUUUAGGGAAGAUUAGUUUCCUAAAUGCAAAUAAGGCUCAUCGAAUCUGACCCUUCUUAAAAAGUAAUGACCAUGUUUGCAUGAGAGUAAAAAGCCAGCAUUAAAAUAAAAGCUGCACACUGUGCCGCUCAGACUCUGCUGUGUAGGGCCACGUUAUAUUUUAAAUAUUCACAGGGAAGCCGGUCAUUGAGCUCAAAUGCAUGCACGCUGUGGUUUGCACUUUAUGUUCACGUUUGCACUUCAGACGUUAUUAUAUGUUAGUUUGUAGACAUCAUGUAUUAUAUUCUGCAGAAGUGAUUGAACUCGUCACUAUGACCUGUUCUUAACGAGCCUCAGUAACCCUUUACUGCUGCCAUUCAAACUGAAGUGAUGUCACGUGUUCACAAACUACAGAUGGUGGGAAGACUUUGGGAUAAAUGUACAUUUUCCUGCAGUUUCAGAAUAAAAGCCUCCGUGUGGAAAUAAAUCAGAAA
Molecule: long non-coding RNA, 1239 nt
Organism: Trematomus bernacchii (emerald rockcod)
Lineage: Eukaryota; Metazoa; Chordata; Actinopteri; Perciformes; Nototheniidae
Exons: 2
Source: RefSeq, a predicted model, not a curated record